Long non-coding RNA from Ailuropoda melanoleuca (giant panda), 5548 nucleotides. RefSeq lists it as uncharacterized. Lineage: Eukaryota; Metazoa; Chordata; Mammalia; Carnivora; Ursidae. The transcript has 3 exons. The record is from RefSeq and is a predicted model, not a curated record.
UGUUCCCUCUCUCACUGGCUGUCUCUAUCUCUGUCAAAUAAAUAAAUAAAAUCUUAAAAAAAAAAAAAAACCUAUUAUUUCCUAAAAUGAGGUCCAUUGGUAUUACUGAUAAAAUUGCUCAUCUGUUUAAUACUUUAAAACCACUAUUUUCUUUUUCUCAUCUGUUUCCUUCUUGGUUUAUUAUUUUAUUAGCAGUUAUACUAAUAAUUACAGCUUUCUGAUAUAUCACUUUUUAAAUAUUUAAUAACAAAACUGGAGUUUAAAGUUUUCAUUCUUAUAUCAUUUUCUUUUCCUUUUUUUUAAUCAGCUAACCCUGCACUCUUCAAAAUAAAAUAUAUAGAAGAAACUUAGCUAAAUAUUUUCUGAAGGCCUUAUGUUCAGUUAUCUUUUAUUUUAGUAUUAUUGUUAAGUAUCUCGAUUAUUUUCUAUACUAUUUAUGAUGAUAUGCUCCCCCCAGUUUUUAAUCAUAGCUGAGUUUUAUGUAUUCUUUUUUAGUAUGGCCUUUCUUUGAAAUUAUAAAACUUACGUAAUUUUUUCUGAAGUUUUCCUAGCUUCAACAACAUUUUUUUCAUUAUGUUCUAGAACAUUUUAAAUCUUAGUAUUUAAAACCAUAGAUUUCCUUGCUGAACAAAAUUUAGCAUUUUAUUUAUGAUAACUUGUCAUUUUGUGCUUUGCUAAUUUUCUCACUCUUUAUCUUAUGCUAAUACUUUCCUCUCUACUGUUGUCUGCUGCUUCUUACAGUUUCUUAGAAUUUUAGGUAAGGAUUACAUAUUAAAUUAUUGAAUCAGCAUUCUCUCAGAUAAAAGCAAGAAGGACUGGUUUUAAUAAUCUUCUAGUGGUCAGAAACUUAAAAAUAGGUUUGUCUAUUUUAAAGAAGAAUUGUAUCCCAGUUUUUUUUUUUAUCGAAUACCUUCAUCAGUAACAAAUAUUUUUAGGUAUACAGCUUCAAAAUACGUAUGUGUAUAUAUUUACAAAUUGUACGGGUUCUACUGUGGCAAUAUAUAUAUUGUACAUUAUGCAACACUGAAAAAUAGACAUCUUAGAAGGGUAAAGAAUAUUAAUAGAAAUUCUAAUAUUUUCCUUCUGUAUCUCUGGUUCAUUUUGUCUGUGUCCUAGGAGGUGUCUAUCUGUUUUGGAGACCACUGCUUUAGAGGUUAAGAUUAGACAGAGAGAGGGAGUGGGAGAUUAUUACUAAAUUGGCUUGUUGAACGAACAGUUGAGCCUUUUGUUUAUGUUUGAGCGACCUCACCAGGGACAUCUACAUUCCAGACUGAGUUUGGAAGAAGAGCCUUCCUGUCAAGUCUCCAGAUGAGAACUCACCUCUGGGCCAACAUCUUGUGUGCAGCCUUGAUGAGGACCCAGAUAAGCCAUGCCCAGCAUCCUGACCCACAGAAACUGUGAGAUAAUAAAUGUAUAUUGCCUUAAGCCACUAACUGUAGAAAUUCGUUGUUCUUCGGUAACAAAACACAUAGCCUGGGAACAGGGGGGUGGGCAGCGUAGAACAAUAGAAGCCUAGCAGAGAGGGGAUCUACUGGGGAAAGUGAAUCUUAGCCAGUGUACUUCGAGCAUCCUAGCCCUUUAAAUAAGCUGUUCUCCAGGUGGUAAUAAAUAAAGCUUGAGUUCGGGUGAGUUUACCUUCCCUUGUUUUGAUUUUAUGCUCACAGAAAAACGUGUUAAUUAUUACAUGCUCCCCGUGUGUAGGUCCACUUCAGGGAGAGGAAGUCCAGGUCCAUCUGACUUGCGUAAGUGAAUUCUGAGGGUUUGUGAGAUUUGUUUAAUCGGUUGGAUUUGUUUAAUUGGUUGGGUCCAGGCCACUGUGGCAUGGUAAAAAUUGACCUCAUCCCUCUGCUUGGAGUCCUCUAGGCUGUAGUUGUAGUUGAAUGCUGUGUGAGACACAUUAAACAGUUGAUCCCAGCCUCUGCCAGAUUAUUAGUGAUCAAUGGAAUGGUACAUGAAUUUCAUGAAAUUCAUGAAAAUUUCCCUAAGACUAAGAUGGUGUAGAAAUGAAGGUUGAGAAAUACUUCUCCAUAGUUCUUCUGCGUUUCUGCACAUCUUGCAAGCAGAGGCACUGACUGCUUUUUCUAGACUAUCUUCUUAAAGAUGUUUGUGUACUGAACAGCCUUGCUAAAGAUAGAGAUGAUGUCUCUUUGGAACAAAAAGCAGGGUUGCUUAAAGCCUUGGAAGAUAAACUUAGUGUCUCCCUUUGGAACAAAAAUGCUGACAUUUUGCCUACUACUAGUGCUGGAAAUGAUACAGUCCUUUGUCUUAGACCCAUGGGUCUUGUGUCUUCUUUUUUCAGCAUUCAUGGAAUGGUACAGAUUAGCUUGCUAGCUUCCAAGUAAGGUAAAAUCUCAGAGCCUUCAGAGGUCUUGAAACUUGUGUUGGUUAAUAGUCAAGAUUUUAUUUUUUGACAGAACAGAAGUUAAUCUACUCAUGAAUAAACUUUUUCCAGAAUGGAUUGAGUACCCAUAUGUUUUUCUCCUCCCUGGAAAAAAAGAUUUUUAUUUGCUUUGUUGGAUAAAAUUGCUCCAUUUAUUUCUUAAGCAUAUUGUAUCAAUGAGUGAGUAUUCCUAAGAGUGAAGUUAUCUGAGACAGUCACAUUUUCUACACUAGCUAAUUGUAUUAACUUUUCCUGGGCUUCAGUUUUAUCCUACAAAUGAGAGACUCAUAUUCUUAAGGUCCUUUCCAACUGCAGUACUUCUAGGCAAUGUAAAAAACAGCAUUCCUUUAAUUUUGUUUAUUUGAUGAGUACUUAACAUUGUUCUUACUAUGGGACAGGUACCAUUCUUAAGUGCUUUUCAAAUAAUCAUUUAAACAAAGGUGAGGUAGGUAAGGAAAACGAGGUAGGGAGUUUAGUAAUUUGCUCAAGGUCAUCCAGCUAGAGGGUGACAUAGCUGGGCUCAAACCUAAGUAAAAUUUGUACUCUUUUCCACCAUGCUGUGCUGCUCCCAGCUUUUCACUGAAAAAAUGAUUCACUUUCUGCCCUCUGAGAACUCGCCACAGGAGAGAAUGAGGCAAGUCCCUGCUCUCCAGAAUCUUCACACUAAGUGAGAAUUUUGUGCUCUGUGUUUGUGUGUGUGUGUGUAUGUGAAUGUGUCCCACAGCAGGACUCCAAGGUAAGCAUUCCUAUGUAAGAAUACCUCUUUAGAAUGUAAAAGUGUACAUGUUUAGGUUAAGUAAUUGGUUCCAGGUUUUUAAAUGUCUUAUUUAAAGUUGUUGAAAUAAACCUUUAAAUGUCUUAUUGAGGGUUGUUGAAAUAAAUCUUAGGGCUCUAAUCUGGUAGUAAUAAAUUAGGUGAGACUUUUAGGGAACUAUGCAGACAAUUGGCCAAAAGGCUUACCUGUUUGAUACCUAAAAUAAGAUUAAUAAAAUUAUGUAUGGAAAUUAAAAUAGUUACACUGAAUCAUUUUCUUGGAAAGUUUUUAGUCAGCCCACAUCUCAUUUACAUAUGUUAGUGAGAGCUUCUUGAGGAUAAUAAUGGACUUUUUUUCAUCUUUGUGUCUGUAUCUGUGUUGCACCUAAGACAGUAUUUUUUCGCUGUAUUCACUUAAGUGUUGAGUGAAUGAUCAACUCAAUUUUAUAGGAUACAAGGUGAUUCUCCAUAUCUGUCAGGGUCCUGGCAGGAAGCAGAAUUACACUCAGGGGUCCAUCUGAACAGACUUGAAGGAAAGAACUGCUUGCUGAAGACUAAGGGAACAAACAAGGGGUGUUGAGGCACUCUCUGCUGUUGUGACUCCUAGGUCAAAAGGGGCAGCUAUUAUAUAGUAACCGCGUGAAGCUCCGUGAGAGCAGAGGUAGGACUUACGGAGGAGGGACAGUGACAGAGCUGUGACUGGCACAGCAGGCAGGAAAGCGGGACAAGGGAUAGAUAUCCCUUUGUCUCCUGCCAAUAAUCCUCUUGGUAGCUGAACCCCGCUAGAAUACUGCGUGAUAGGGAGUGGAUCGGGGAGGGAGGGGGACAAAUGGAAAAUAGCCAGCGUGCUAGAAACAUAUCCGGAUUUGUCUCUGCAUUCAAUCUGCUAUAACAAUACCAUAGACCGCUUGGCUUAUAAACAGAAGUGUAUUCCUCACAGCUUUGGAGACUGGGAAGUCCACCAACAGGGUUCUGGCAAGAUUCAGUGUCUGGUAAGGACUCACUUCCUGAUUCAUAGAAGGCUGUCUUCUUCCUGCAAGUUCACAUGGCAAGAGGAGAGGGUAUGCACUUCUCUGGGGUCUCUUUUGUAAGGGUGCCGAUCUUGUUCACGAGGACUCUGCUCAAAUGACCUAAUCACCUCUCAAAGGUCCUGCUGCCUACUACCAUCAAGUUAUGGCUUAGGAUUUCAAGAUGAAUUUUAGGGGAACACACAUUCAUGCUAUAGCAGAAUCGAAGCAUGCAUCGUCAUUUAAUGCAGUUUGAUUCCUCACUUGCAAAAAUUAUUAAAUCUUUCCUCUAUCGGUUUUAUGCAUAUUUUAUGAAAAGCCAAAUGCAUUCGAGUUGUUUUCCAGUUAAUCGUUUAAUAUUCACAUUGCUAAUAAUUUACAUGAAGUACUGAAUUUAAAUCAUUAGUAGGUGGUGCCGCUGAGAUUGGAUCCUGAAAAACAUAAAACUAGACAUUUAAAACUGAAUAUUAUCUAGGAUUCAGACAGGUUACUUGGGAAAGAAUGUUGCAAUCCAGUCAGUUUCUGAUUCGUUGUUUGAAUUUUCAGGGGAAGAGAAUUACAUGCAAGGAACUUCACAGCUGUGUCUCUGGCAGCCUCAUCUCAUGAGGCAAAUAGGAGCAAUGAUUUGUUGACCCACUGAGAUAUCAUUUUUCUGUCACCCCUCAGGAAACACAGUAGUACAGGCCUUUACUAAUAGGAAUAGGCCCAUAAAAACCGUGGAGUUGUAAAAUGUCUAACCUUGCAUGGAUUUUAAAGAUGCUGAAAUCUAUCACUCAAAUUAGGUACUUGGUAAAAUACAGAUUUUCAGGCCAUUUGCCUGGAGAUUCUGAUUUAGUUGACCUGAGGUAGGCUGGAAAUCUAUAAUUUAACAACUGUCCCCAGUGAUCCUUAUGGUCGCACUAGUUUGGAAAACACUGAUAUAUGUAGCUUCUUUUUGACCUAAAUUUCCUUACAUACUUGGCCUGAGACUGCACAGACAUUUUAGAGUGACAGUCACCGGGGACCCUCUCCCAGAAAAAUGUUCCUACCCAGAGCUUUACAUACAAUUUCAGAUGCUUCAGAGACCCGUAGAGUCCAUCUACAUCACCUACUUUGCACACCCUUAGAGAAUCGGUUCGAAAUUCCCCAGGCUAGAUUUCAAGGUUUCCCGUGAUCUUGGUCUAUGCUACUGAUUGAGCCUUUGGCCUCAUCAUACCCAUCAUACUCAGGAGCUGUAAGGACGAGCAAAUUUUUCAGUUUAUAUUCCUGGACACAUGGAAAAAUUAAAAUCAAAGGAACCAGUAUGCUUCUCUUAAAGCCUGUAUGUGUUUGUCAAAAUACAGAAUAUCAUCUGGGGCACCUGGGUGGUGCAGUCAGUUAAGCAACCGACUCAGCUUUGGCUCAGGUCAUGAUCUCAGAGUUGUGGGUU